GGCCCAUUAGCUCAGUUGGUUAGAGCAGACGACUCAUAAUCGUUUGGUCUCCUGUUCAAGUCAGGAAUGGGCCACCA
RNAcentral lists this transfer RNA (77 nucleotides) under Succinatimonas sp. CAG:777. RNAcentral describes it as "transfer RNA-Met(CAT)". It matches the Rfam family "tRNA". Rfam says of the family: Transfer RNA (tRNA) molecules are approximately 80 nucleotides in length. Their secondary structure includes four short double-helical elements and three loops (D, anti-codon, and T loops). The record is from RNAcentral. Lineage: Bacteria; Pseudomonadati; Pseudomonadota; Gammaproteobacteria; Aeromonadales; Succinivibrionaceae. RNAcentral also lists the same sequence under 4 other names.